This 253-nucleotide ribosomal RNA is filed under the name uncultured bacterium. Its description in RNAcentral is "partial 16S ribosomal RNA". It matches the Rfam family "Bacterial small subunit ribosomal RNA", at positions 524 to 776 of the family's 1533-position model. The record is from RNAcentral.
UACGUAGGCAGCGAGCGUUGUUCGGAGUUACUGGGCGUAAAGGGUGUGUAGGCGGUUGUUUAAGUUUGGUGUGAAAUCUCCCGGCUCAACUGGGAGGGUGCGCCGAAUACUGAAUGACUAGAGUACGGGAGAGGAAAGUGGAAUUCCUGGUGUAGCGGUGAAAUGCGUAGAUAUCAGGAGGAACACCGGUGGUGUAGACGGCUUUCUGGACCGUAACUGACGCUGAAACACGAAAGCGUGGGUAGCAAACAGG